AUACGGAGGAUCCGAGCGUUAUCCGGAUUUAUUGGGUUUAAAGGGAGCGUAGGCGGACGCUUAAGUCAGUUGUGAAAGUUUGCGGCUCAACCGUAAAAUUGCAGUUGAUACUGGGUGUCUUGAGUACAGUAGAGGCAGGCGGAAUUCGUGGGGGAGCGGUGGAAUGCUUAGAUAUCACGAAGAACUCCGAUUGCGAAGGCAGCCUGCUGGACUGUAACUGACGCUGAUGCUCGAAAGUGUGGGUAUCAAACAGGAUUAGAUACCCUGGUAGUCCACACAGUAAACGAUGAAUACUCGCUGUUUGCGAUAUACAGUAAGCGGCCAAGCGAAAGCGUUAAGUAUUCCACCUGGGGAGUACGCCGGCAACGGUGAAACUCAAAUGAAUUGGCGGGG
Molecule: ribosomal RNA, 393 nt
Filed under: uncultured bacterium
Lineage: Bacteria
Description: partial 16S ribosomal RNA
Rfam family: Bacterial small subunit ribosomal RNA
Source: RNAcentral